GUACUCAACAAACAACGAACUUUGGUCAACAUAUUACAACAAGUCAAGUGAAAAAGAGUUCAGCGGCAACUCUGACAGAACAACAGUGGUUACUAAUGUAAUAACCAACCCAUUCAGAGCCAGGUUUGUUCGUGUACUUCCAACUGCUUACCAAGGAUGGAAGUUGCUAAGGGUGGAUUUCAAAGGACUUUCUUUAGGUUGCACUUCGUCGCUUGGUCUUGAG
Molecule: long non-coding RNA, 223 nt
Organism: Actinia tenebrosa (Australian red waratah sea anemone)
Lineage: Eukaryota; Metazoa; Cnidaria; Anthozoa; Actiniaria; Actiniidae
Source: RefSeq, a predicted model, not a curated record